GGCCGAUCCAAGAGCUUGCUCUCUGGCGACGAGUGGCGGACGGGUGAGUAAUACUUAGGAAUCUGCCCAGUAGUGGGGGACAACUCGGGGAAACUCGAGCUAAUACCGCAUACGCCCUAAGGGGGAAAGUGGAGGAUCUUCGGACUUCACGCUAUUGGAUGAGCCUAAGUCGGAUUAGCUUGUUGGUGAGGUAAAGGCUCACCAAGGCGACGAUCCGUAGCUGGUCUGAGAGGACGAUCAGCCACACUGGGACUGAGACACGGCCCAGACUCCUACGGGAGGCAGCAGUGGGGAAUAUUGGACAAUGGGGGCAACCCUGAUCCAGCAAUGCCGCGUGUGUGAAGAAGGCCUGCGGGUUGUAAAGCACUUUCAGUAGAGAAGAAAAGCUUAGGGUUAAUACCCCCGAGUCUUGACGUUACCUACAGAAGAAGCUCCGGCUAACUCCGUGCCAGCAGCCGCGGUAAUACGGAGGGAGCGAGCGUUAAUCGGAAUUACUGGGCGUAAAGCGCGCGUAGGCGGCUUUGUAAGUCGGAUGUGAAAGCCCUGGGCUCAACCUGGGAAUGGCAUUCGAUACUGCAUGGCUAGAGUAUGGUAGAGGGAAGUGGAAUUUCCGGUGUAGCGGUGAAAUGCGUAGAUAUCGGAAGGAACA
RNAcentral lists this ribosomal RNA (649 nucleotides) under uncultured bacterium. RNAcentral's name for it is "bacterial SSU rRNA". It matches the Rfam family "Bacterial small subunit ribosomal RNA", at positions 65 to 708 of the family's 1533-position model. The record is from RNAcentral.